GUUCUAAGUGCUUUAUUCAUCUGAUUUAAACCUCACGACAACUCUAGGGUCGUUCCCAUGUUACAGCAGAAAACCAAGGCACCAAAAGUAUAAAUAACUGCCCAAGGUCCCAUGUCUAGUUUCCUAGCAUCUGGGGAUCUAGGACGGAGUGCUGGUAACCUGGCUCUCAGGCCCUGUGCCUUAUGCGUCGUUUCAGGAAGGAAGGGCCUUUUCACAUGUAGAAUGAAGGCAGGCCUCGCUCUUAGAGAACUGGGGGACCAGCAUCUGGCAAGUGUUUCUCUAGGCAUGAGUCCCCCUGGCUUUGAGGAAAUCUUCACAAACCUAGUGCAGGACCUGCUUUCCAGGCAGAGGCUUUGCUGUAGGCUGGCAGUGAGCUUGUCUUCCAUCUGCUUGGCCAGCCUGGGUGGAACAUUGCUCCUUACUGGGCCCCCAGGGUCCACUGGGCCAGAAGAAGGGAGGUUUGCCUUAAUCCUCGUGCUGUCUCACCUUGCCCAAUAGGGGUGGUUGGCUGAGGGAGGGAAGGGGGAAGUGUUCGAAAGAGGUGGGGGACAAUUAGCAUCAGGUUAGGUCCCUGCCCCCCGCACUGGGAUUCCUCACAGUGACAAUCAGGAAGGGAGCUCAGAAAGCCUCCAGAUCCCACUCAGAUGCUGAGAUCAAAUCCCAAAGCAGGUAUUUAUCACUUGCUUUGACUUGGGAUCACCUAGAAAACGGUUCCAACUGUUCUUCCACAAGAUGACAGACCCUGGUGUUGACAAUGGGGAGGGAAGAUGUCAGAGGGGGUUUGAGCGAGUGGCCUUUCCUCUGGGCCCGUGGGAUGCAGAGGCUCGUCCAUCCGUGGGAUGAGCCUUCUGAGCUCAUGGCAGAGAUGGGAGAGGAGAGAGAGCGGCCGCUGGCAUGUCAGAAGCGGGGCCCUGGCUGAGGAUAGGGGAGCCUGUGUCCAGAUUAUCUUUGUCCAGGCUGUUCCCCCACCCACCCCUGACCCCAAACCAAGACAGAUUUGAGGAAAGAGCAGCCCUGACCAUGAGCUCUGUGCGAUGCACCAGUUGCUUCUGAGGGCUGAUGGGCCUGCAGUGAUGGUUGUAUUUUGGUGAAGAAACCCCAACUCUGAGGCUCUCAGUCUCGUUAUCUGCUGCUCCUCCUUUUUCUUCUCUGAGGGGUGCGCACUCCUGGUCCAUCGCCCUGUGCCUGCAGCUUGGAGACACAUGUUUACCCUUUCCCUUCACCUCCAGUUGUUUCCUAAAAAUGGAAUGCUCAGUUUCCAGGCACGGGUGGGAUCAACCCCAUUGUCUGUCUGUUCCAUUGUCUCAGAAUCUUCCACCAGGAGGGAUGUGGAUUUUCCUGGGGUGUAAACCUAACAUGCCCUUCCCCUUGGCUCUCUGUGCUUUCCCUGCACCGCCUGCUCCCUUCACCUUGGGGUUAUCACGAUUUUCCCUGCCCACGCCCUGGUGUUCAAGAAUAACUCAGCCUCCCUGCCAGACUUCUCUGGAACUUCAUACAGACUUGUUUAACUCGAAAAGGAAACUCUUCCAUCCUUAGCCUAUGUUCUUUUUCCAAAGAGCUGAAGGGCACCGGGUGUGUGGUGAGGGCAAGCGAGGAGGGAGAAGGACCAGAUUCAGAGAGAAGGGGAGGGAAGCUUGCAUUCAGGCUCCCUCUCUCCACCCAGAAGUACGUUUAGAGAACAGCUCCCCGCGUAAACAAGGCAUCAGACACCUUUUUGAAUUUCAUAACAGAAGUACUAUCUGAACACCUAACAGGACAGGAAAAAUGUAUAGACACAAACUAGAAAAAAUUGGUAUCUAUAUUUGAAACAUGUGACUGUGGCAAAAAAAAAAAAAAAAAAAAAAAGUAACAAGCUUAUUUCUAUCGGCCAAAGGAAAGGAUGAGGGACGAAGUCUUUGGUGCAGCAAGGUUUUGUCAGGGCCCACCCCGCGCCGUUUGUGAUUGGGAAACAGGGCAGUUCUAGGGUGGGGGGCUGCUUUAGGGAGCAGAUCCUGGAACUUGUCGGGGGAGAGUUUAUGUCCCUGGGAGAUGUGGGGUCCCAGGUCUGGGCCAGUGCUGGGAAACAGGUGCCUGUGCCCGAGGCCUUUUCAGGUGUGUGCCAGCAUGCCUCUGUGGUCCUCCAGGUGCUUAGGGGAGUAACAGCUGCCUGAGGGGCACCCAUUUGACCUCACAGCUGGAAAGAACUUAAAGGUCAGGUAGGUAGGCACCUGCUUAACAUCCGAGAGCAGAGACAGGCUGUCAGGGACAGGAAGUCGCUGUGAUGAUGGUCUCUCUCCCGCUGGUGUCUGUGCUGGGUGGGACCUGGCAGGUCAGCUGCUCCAAUGAUAUAUAAAAAGUGUCAGUAACAACGGGCAGGGCAUGCUGAGUGCCUUAUAUGCAUCACAUCCCUGCAUCCUCACCAGUCUUGUGACUGUGUUUGGAGGAAGCGGUACACCUCGGUCAAGCUUCCUCAGUAAAAGAGGAAGGCUGCAAAUCCAGUGGCAGGACCCCAAAGCCCAUGCAGUGAAGUGCUGUACUGCCUUCUGGAGGCAAGUCGCUCCCCACCUGAAGCUUUGAGGAUCCAGGGUCUCUCGUUAGGCGAUCAACCCUCUGGCUCAGGCACACGCGGGAAAGGCCAAAGUGAACUGGGCUGGAUUCUGAAACGGCUCCUGCAGCAUUUCAAGACCCUUCCCAUUCUCAUCUCCUUGGCUACGCCCAGCAGCCCCUGGGCAUCUCCCCUUCUCGGGGGCCAAACUGUCUGCUCUUAUUCCUCGGCCUGUGGCUAGCAGGAACCUGGAGGGAGAAAACGUUCCCUUGAGUCUUGGCUGUGGGCAGCAGAACAGCAUGUUCUGAGCUGUGACCAGUCUUCUUCCUCCCUAGAGCCCUUCAUUUCUGCUGGAUGCUGGUUGGCCUUGGGGGGGGGGGGCGCAUAAGCAAAGGGAACAGAGGCCAAAAGUGAUUGGGCAGCUGAGCUUGGAGAGAUGGCUGGAAAAGGACUGAUGGAAACUCUGCUGGGGCUACGGCACACGUCCCUGUACUGGGUCCUGCCGAAUCCAGGGAAAUCCCCUUUGCUCAGAUGUUUCCAGGCCCAAAGAAGAGCCACAGAAUGAGCCUGUACUGGGUGACAGAAAUACUUCUGGAUCAUCAAUGAUGGGGACUUUCUUCACUGGGACCUGGGAGAAUGUCGCAACCAGAGCCGAAAGGCCAAGUCCGUUUUGUUUUAGUUCCAAGGCUUUUGAAAAAUAAGUGAAUGGUUAACAGUUUGAAUGGUUUCACUGGGUAUUUUAAACAAAAGCCUUUUAAUUAGGUUUAAUAAGUAUUCUAUAACUUUAGGUUAAAGGCAAAGAAAGAUGACUCUGGGUCUUUCUCCUAGGGCUCAUUCAAGGCGAGAGCAGUAGGGGGCGCCCACACCUCAUACUUCCUAAGUGUCCAGGGGAAGCUUUGGGUAUCUCCACAGCCCCCUCCACCCAGGUGAUGGUGAGUCUUGGCAAAGUACAGACGUGGAACACAGUGUUCCCAAAUGUGGCAGUGCCAUGUCUGGACCCCUUGUGAAGGUGGCUUUCCAGGGGUUGUGCUGCCUUUUCUCUUCCUGUCCCCUUGCCCUAAGGGGUGGAUCCAUGGCAGUGGCAUGCCAUGAGCAAACUCGCUGUCCCCUGGUGAGGCUGGCAGGCACUCUGAGGUCCCACUGCACUUCCUGAGCUCCGGGCAUGGAGCAGGCCUGCUCACAUGACCUGGAAGUGGGUUAUGGGUUGGCCUUACGCAGGCAUCCUUGGCAGAUUCCCGGGCUGGUUUAUGGGAGGCUGCAGGACUUUGGGAUGGUGGUCACUGCUGUGGGAACUGAGCACCCAGAGGGAAGCUCCUCAGGUCGCCUUUUCCAGAGUGGAUUUCAUCCCAUUUAAUAUACCUGUCCUCAAGGUCAAUGUUUCCAAGGUCAAUGUCUACUCGUUCAGGCUUUCUUCACUGAUGCCAUUUUCUAGCUUUUCGGUCAUGGUCACAUCAAGUAGUAGGGAAGCUGAUGAGUUCAGUUCUCCAGGAAGAGCUCAUAAUUAGGUAUUUCUUCAUCACUGACAGGGAAAGUGACAGGCAGGAAGUGUGCUGAGGUUUGUUUUUUAAUUAACUGUGAUCUGAUUGAUAGACUGCCAUUAUUACAGAUGUGUAUCAUCUCUCCUCACUGAUUCCUUCUGAGGACACUUACUUCUCACCGCCUGCAGGCCUGGUCCUGGCUCUGGCGGCACAAUAAUGCCCCCACAGGAACUCAGGGGGAGAGCGAGGCCCCUGCUCAGCGACACACUCUCCUGUCCCUGAGGGAAAGAACCUUAAAAAGCCAGGGGGCUGAACUGAAUGUCCUGUGAAAACCUCACCAAUGCCCAGCUAUGAAAGGAUGAGUCUGGGGCUCUGGGAAGAUCUUAAGCCUAUUCCUUACCACAUAUUCCUGUCACCCCAUAUUAACAUCAUCUUGGCCUGAGUCUGAAUUAUAUUCAGCCUUGACCUCCCCACAUGCUUCUCAUUCUCCUUGGGAUUAAUGAACGCCUUCCACUUUGUACUUACUCACGGCACUGCAUUAUAGGUAACUUCUGGGAAUCAAGGACCAAACUUUUACGUCUACACUGAAAACAUUAUACUUACUUAACACACUCCUAGAUGCCCUCUGGGAAGGACCUGUGGGGAGAGUCAGGGGGAAGGCCCACCUCCCGAGGUUUAGGAACCAGGUGCUGAGUGUGUUGGCUGGGCCCGGAGGAGGCAUCUGGUUCUCAUCGGAGAAGGGGAGUUGCUGGGCAAACUGAACUGCUGGAUUUUUCCUUUACUUCUGGCUCUGCUAACCCCUCCACCCCCCCUCCCCCCACAACCUACACUUUAUGGUGGGAGAAGAACCGGAAAACCCACUGACGCAGAUAAAAAGCUGGGGUAAACCAGUGACUGUGAGUGAGUCUGGGGAGGUAGGGAUUCAGGAAAUGAGGAAAAACCUUCCACACCUGGUGCCUGUAAACAGAGGUGAACAAGGGGCUAGAACUGUUUGGCUCUGGAAUGGUGGCUGAUACAAGUGAGGGUGUCGGCUCCAGGAGGAACAUGAAAGGGCUUCUGGUCCCAUGUGUUUCAGGGACACAGGCUCAGGGCCCCAGAAAGGGAAGUCUGGUAGCAGCCCUGGGGAGGGGGCCCUGGGUGGGCAGUUAGCAAGCUGCCCCAGACGGAUCCCACGUGAAGCAGAGGCCCUCCUUUCUUCACUUGUCCCUUUUCACGUGUGUCUGUUCUGCAGCACUUAAAACGUGCAAGGCUAGGUUACCUUCCCCAAAGCUAAUCUGUGCCAGGGUCUUUCUCCCAAGACCACACGGAAGGCCCUGCCAUGUCCGACAGUGGAUCUCAAUUCCAAAAGGUAUCACACAACCUGCCAGGGAGGCCAGGGGUACUGUGAACCCCAGCUCUACAGAGAAAUUCUUCACACAUGCACCUGGCACAUACUGGGCAGGACUGAAAGAAGCUGUGUUUAGUUUUUCCAUCACGUUUUCUCCAUUUAAAUCUCAUUCUUUCCCUAGGCCUUCCUUGCGGUACCUCUCUAAAAGGCACUUCCCCAACUUUCCAGGGCAGUUAUGCGUAUCCUCUCAGGAAGUUCUGGGGUGGGGGGAAGAGCAGUUGUCUAAUAAAAGCCACUCAUGUUUCCUGGGUGAAUACAGAUUACAUGCUGACAGCAAACAGCUCAGCUCUGGGUUCAGUGUAUGUCUGCAUGUAGUCAGGGCCUCUAUAGAAGGUGUCUGGGUAUCUGACGGAUGCAGAGAUCAUUUUCUUUGCUUUUUAGGGCCACACCCAUGGCAUAUGGAGGUUUCCAGGUUAGGGGUCUAAUAGGAGCUAUAUCUGCCAGCCUACACCACAGCCAUAGCAACACCAGUUCUGAGCUGUGUCUGCGACCCACACCAGAGCUCACGGCAACACCAGAUCCUUAACCCACUGAGCAAGGCCAGGGAUUGAAAUGUAACCUCAUGGUUCCUAGUUGGAUUUGUUUCCGCUGCUGUGCCAUGACAGGAACUCCUCUGCAGAGGUCUUUUAAAUGGCAUCUUAAACUUAGGAGCCACAAAUUUGGAUACAAAGAAGCAGCUCAGCUAUGUUAAAAACUUAAACCUUCAACUGCUGCUAGAACUUGGCCUUUAGCUUGGUUGCUACCCCAGAGCAACCUGCUCCUUGGCUUGUGCUGGGGAAACACACUUCCUGAGUUUGUUCAGGACAGGACACUACACGUGGAAACAAACUUCCUCCAUCCUCCACGAUCAGUUUCUAUUUCUUUUUUUUUUUUUUUUUUGGUCUUUUUUUUUUGCUAUUUCUUGGGCCGCUCCCGCGGCAUAUGGAGAUUCCCAGGCUAGGGGUCCAAUCGGAACUGUAGC
RNAcentral lists this long non-coding RNA (6350 nucleotides) under Sus scrofa (pig). RNAcentral's name for it is "lncRNA (ENSSSCG00000058826.1)". Lineage: Eukaryota; Metazoa; Chordata; Mammalia; Artiodactyla; Suidae. The record is from RNAcentral.